AAUGGAAAAUGCUUGGAAAUGCUCUUAUGCGAAGGGGGCCCAAGUGAAGACUUCGAAUAUGAAGAGGAAUUCGAUGACAGUCUUAAAUACGAACUAAAUUUUGAACUAGAGAAUGAAAAUCAAGAGCUUUUACAACAUUUGGAUCCCUGAAGCUGUUUCCUUUAUGUGGAACCCUUAAUUUCAUUGAUUUUUAUUAAAACUGUAUAUUAAUAUUAUGUUUUUGAUCCAAUACAACCAUAUUUUAAAACAUUUAAUAAAAUAAAAAAAAUAUAUAUAAAAA
Long non-coding RNA from Drosophila ananassae, 280 nucleotides. RefSeq lists it as uncharacterized. The transcript is spliced from 2 exons. The record is from RefSeq and is a predicted model, not a curated record. Lineage: Eukaryota; Metazoa; Arthropoda; Insecta; Diptera; Drosophilidae.